RNAcentral lists this long non-coding RNA (375 nucleotides) under Bos grunniens (domestic yak). Its description in RNAcentral is "lncRNA (ENSBGRG00000016659.1)". Lineage: Eukaryota; Metazoa; Chordata; Mammalia; Artiodactyla; Bovidae. The record is from RNAcentral.
AUGAAACCUCUACUUCAAUCCUCCUACUGCGUACAGUCGCCAAUGUCAACAGUUCUCAUCCACAUGAGCAUGGGCUUCAUGAUCCUGGCCGUGAUCCUGGCUCUAGUUCUCCUCCUGGCCAUGGGCUUCUCCUUCCGGCCAGCACUCCGCCGUCUUAACAAGACUGACCUCGUCUUCAGUACCCUCAGCUCCUUCACUGGAAUCCUGAGCUACUUAAACUACAUGGGCAUGUGGGGCAAAGGGACGUCCUCCACGGAACGGCGGAUGAGCUACCGCCGGUGGGCCUCGCUGCAGAACACCCGGAAGUCCAUAUCCGAACAGCUGUCGUCGGACGCAGGCUCCAAGCACGCCGAAAACUGAGGUAUAGUUUACUUA